UCGGGAAUUUUGGGCAAUGGGCGAAAGCCUGACCCAGCAACGCCGCGUGAAGGAUGAAAUCCCUCGGGAUGUAAACUUCGCAAGAACGGGAAGAAUAAGCGAGAGUUAAUAUCUUUCGUGAUGACGGUACCGUUUGUAAGCUCCGGCUAACUCCGUGCCAGCAGCCGCGGUAAUACGGGGGGAGCAAGCGUUGUUCGGAUUUACUGGGCGUAAAGGGCGCGUAGGCGGCCAGCACAAGUCAGUUGUGAAAUCUCCGAGCUUAACUCGGAAAGGUCAACUGAUACUGUGCGGCUAGAGUGCGGAAGGGGCAACUGGAAUUCUUGGUGUAGCGGUGAAAUGCGUAGAUAUCAAGAGGAACACCUGCGGCGAAGGCGGGUUGCUGGGCCGACACUGACGCUGAGGCGCGAAAGCCAGGGGAGCGAACGG
RNAcentral lists this ribosomal RNA (426 nucleotides) under uncultured bacterium. Its description in RNAcentral is "bacterial SSU rRNA". It matches the Rfam family "Bacterial small subunit ribosomal RNA", at positions 355 to 775 of the family's 1533-position model. The record is from RNAcentral.